Long non-coding RNA from Lathyrus oleraceus (garden pea), 789 nucleotides. RefSeq lists it as uncharacterized. Lineage: Eukaryota; Viridiplantae; Streptophyta; Magnoliopsida; Fabales; Fabaceae. The record is from RefSeq and is a predicted model, not a curated record. The transcript has 3 exons.
CUCAUUUAUUGCCUCCUCGUUUCAAAACAUGUCGCCAGACACUGAAACGCGUGUUAAAGGACUCCUCCGUACCGGUAAUCACCUCCGGCAGCGGUGGAGGUCAAACACUACCAUGCCAGUAUCCACAAGUUCGUCUCCUUCCUCUCUAUUUCGUUGCUCUAUUAACUCUUUCAAACUUCUCCUUCGCAGACCAAAUCGUCGAUAAAUGCGAAUGGAACCUAAGUUAUUGGAAUCAAAGAUUUAUACGGCCACUAGGAGGAAUCGAAACUUCCAUGGUGGCGACAAGAAUCACUCAAACUGAGGAGCUAAAAACGUAUCGGCGAGGACGUGGUUGCGAUGCAAAGGAUUUAAGAAAAGAGUGAAUGAAGCGUACGAAGCUGAUGAAGAUGAGACUAGGAGAGUGAAGAUGGAAUGUUUAUGAAGCCCUCUGAAAAUUAAGUGAGGGUUAGUAUUUGGAAGGAAGGAGCUUCACUUCUCAUUCUGAAAAUUAUGCAGGAUUGUCUUGGUGUGCUCAAAUUAUGGUGUUGCUUGGAAUCAUGGACUGUGUUGAAUAAAAUUGGGAAAUGGGUUGAAGCUUAGAUAUAGGACUGAUGUACCAAUGCAUUUAUGAAGCUUCACUAAGGUUGGUUGGCUAUGACAUUCCGGUGAAAUGCACGAUUCUUAAAGGCGUACCAUGAGGGUGAUGAUGGUUGGCUGCAGAUUGAUGGCCCAAAGUUCCUAAUGGGAUGUAACAUAACUUAUAUUGAAGGUUCAAAUAUAAUGCAACUUUUUGUAUCCAUUUGCUUAAAA